Molecule: long non-coding RNA, 362 nt
Organism: Hirundo rustica (Barn swallow)
Lineage: Eukaryota; Metazoa; Chordata; Aves; Passeriformes; Hirundinidae
Exons: 2
Source: RefSeq, a predicted model, not a curated record
CGCCCGAUUCUGCGCCAUGUUUAAAAUGUGUUCGCUCGGGGGCUGGCCGUCCGGGCCGGGGGGCCCUUCUAUAUGGCCGAGGGGGACAUCUGCAAGACUAGGCAAGCCACGCGCGGGGCCGAGAGAGCCCGCAAAAGGAAAAGGAACUGUAACUGUUUUCGGAAGAUAGAAGACGGCCUCCUAGCAACAAGAUAACACACAUUGCGAAACCGACACGAUAACAGAAGAAAGAACUGUAUAAAAUGGGACUGGAAGACCGUAACCGCGUGGCAGUGGGCGGAGUGCAGACUCUCCUGUUGCCCAGCGCUGCAUUUGCUUAUGCCCCGCUUGCUGUAAUUAAUAAAAUUCUAAUUGGGACUAAA